AGAACGAACGCUGGCGGCAUGCCUAACACAUGCAAGUCGAACGAACCCUUCGGGGUUAGUGGCGCACGGGUGCGUAACGCGUGGGAACCUACCAUCAGGUUCGGAAUAACAGUUAGAAAUGACUGCUAAUACCGGAUAAUGUCUUCGGACCAAAGAUUUAUCGCCUUUUGAUGGGCCCGCGUUGGAUUAGCUAGUUGGUAAGGUAAAAGCUUACCAAGGCGACGAUCCAUAGCUGGUCUGAGAGGAUGAUCAGCCACACUGGGACUGAGACACGGCCCAGACUCCUACGGGAGGCAGCAGUGGGGAAUAUUGGACAAUGGGCGAAAGCCUGAUCCAGCAAUGCCGCGUGAGUGAUGAAGGCCUUAGGGUGUAAAGCUCUUUUACUGGGGAUGAUAAUGACAGUACCAGAGAAUAAGCUCGGCUAACUCCGUGCCAGCAGCCGC
RNAcentral lists this ribosomal RNA (443 nucleotides) under uncultured soil bacterium. RNAcentral describes it as "bacterial SSU rRNA". It matches the Rfam family "Bacterial small subunit ribosomal RNA", at positions 26 to 518 of the family's 1533-position model. The record is from RNAcentral.